UGGGGAAUAUUGGACAAUGGGGGCAACCCUGAUCCAGCCAUGCCGCGUGUGUGAAGAAGGCCUUUUGGUUGUAAAGCACUUUAAGCAGUGAAGAAGACUCCAUGGUUAAUACCCAUGGACGAUGACAUUAGCUGCAGAAUAAGCACCGGCUAACUCUGUGCCAGCAGCCGCGGUAAUACAGAGGGUGCAAGCGUUAAUCGGAAUUACUGGGCGUAAAGCGAGCGUAGGUGGCUUGAUAAGUCAGAUGUGAAAGCCCCGGGCUUAACCUGGGAACGGCAUCUGAUACUGUUAGGCUAGAGUAGGUGAGAGGAAGGUAGAAUUCCAGGUGUAGCGGUGAAAUGCGUAGAGAUCUGGAGGAAUACCGAUGGCGAAGGCAGCCUUCUGGCAUCAUACUGACACUGAGGUUCGAAAGCGUGGGUAGCAAACA
RNAcentral lists this ribosomal RNA (427 nucleotides) under uncultured bacterium. Its description in RNAcentral is "partial 16S ribosomal RNA". It matches the Rfam family "Bacterial small subunit ribosomal RNA", at positions 355 to 774 of the family's 1533-position model. The record is from RNAcentral.